This 383-nucleotide ribosomal RNA is filed under the name Lytorhynchus diadema. Its description in RNAcentral is "partial 12S ribosomal RNA". Lineage: Eukaryota; Metazoa; Chordata; Lepidosauria; Squamata; Colubridae. The record is from RNAcentral.
GCCUAACUGUAACACAACAAUUAAAUUACGAAUUGUUCGCCAAAUAACUACGAGUAAAAACUUAAAAUUUAAAAGACUUGACGGUGCUUCACAACGACCUAGAGGAGCCUGUCUAAUAACCGAUACUCCACGAUUAACCCAACCCACCCUGGCCCCACAGUCUAUAUACCGCCGUCGCCAGCCUACCUUAUGAAAGAAACAAAGUAAGCUAAAUAGUGCACACUAACAAGACAGGUCGAGGUGUAACUCAUGGGUGGGACAAGAUGGGCUACAUUUUCUAAUAUAGAAAAUACGAAUAAACUAUGAAAAGAGAAACUGAAGGCGGAUUUAGCAGUAAACUAGGAAUAAACACACCUAGUCGAAAUCAACGCAAUGAAGCGCGU